UGGCAUUGAACCUAGUGUUAGUAAACAUAGGUUGAGAUGAUAAGUGGCAUGAAACCUAGUGUUAAAGAACAUAGGUUGAGAGUCGAACCUAGAGUUAAAGUAAACCUAGGUUGUGUGAUAAAGGUAUUAAACCUAGAGUCAAGUAAACCUAGGCUGGAAAGGACAAUGGACCUAAGUAGGUCGACACUAUAGGGUUUAAGACCAACCCUUGAG
RNAcentral lists this long non-coding RNA (213 nucleotides) under Ananas comosus (pineapple). RNAcentral describes it as "long non-coding RNA (ACOM_LNC012155)". The record is from RNAcentral. Lineage: Eukaryota; Viridiplantae; Streptophyta; Magnoliopsida; Poales; Bromeliaceae.